This 591-nucleotide ribosomal RNA is filed under the name Carabus auronitens. RNAcentral's name for it is "LSU rRNA". It matches the Rfam family "Bacterial large subunit ribosomal RNA", at positions 1921 to 2751 of the family's 2925-position model. The record is from RNAcentral. Lineage: Eukaryota; Metazoa; Arthropoda; Insecta; Coleoptera; Carabidae.
UUUUAAAUGGCCGCAGUAUUUUGACUGUGCAAAGGUAGCAUAAUCAUUAGUUUUUUAAUUAAAAGCUUGUAUGAAAGGCUGGACGAGGUAAAAUCUGUCUCUAUCUAAAUUAUAAUAGAAUUUAACUUUUAAGUUAAAAGGCUUAAAUAUUAUUAAAAGACGAGAAGACCCUAUAGAUCUUUAUAAUUUAUUAAAUAAAAUUUAUUUAGAAUUAUUUAUGUUUUAUUUAAUUGAAUUAUUUUAUUGGGGUAAUGGAAAGAUUGAAUUAAUUCUUUUUUAUGAUAAACAUUGAUUUAUGAAUAUUAGAUGAUCCAGUUUUACUGAUUAUAAGAUUAAGUUACCUUAGGGAUAACAGCGUAAUUUUUUUAGAGAGUUCAUAUCGAUAAAAAAGUUUGCGACCUCGAUGUUGGAUUAAAGAUUAUUUUAGGUGCAGAAGCUUAAUAAUUUUGGUCUGUUCGACCAUUAAAUCUUUACAUGAUCUGAGUUCAGACCGGCGUAAGCCAGGUCGGUUUCUAUCUUUAAUAAAAUAAAAUAUUUUAGUACGAAAGGACCAAGUAUUUGAUAUAUUUAUAUUUAAUUAAUUGAAUAUUA